Molecule: long non-coding RNA, 224 nt
Organism: Orbicella faveolata
Lineage: Eukaryota; Metazoa; Cnidaria; Anthozoa; Scleractinia; Merulinidae
Source: RefSeq, a predicted model, not a curated record
AGACUUUUGCAUCAGUGCUUCAUGUGCGAUCGACGGCUAUGGAUAUUGCCCUUAUCCGGAUCAGAAUUGUUGUCGCUGGGGUCCUCAGUGACAACUGAACGGCAACUACCCGUCAACGACGUUAACAGUACCGAAUAAAAUAAGUCAUUGGGACGAGAGCUGUCUUUGUCGGGUUACAAUACUGCAGUUUUUGCAGAAAUAAAAAUUAAAAAAUGGAGAAAUCA